CAGUCCAUACAUAUUUCAGAUAUUCCCCACUUGGUAGGGCUUCCUGCCUGGUUCUUCCCUCUGCACCUGCAAUUUCCUUAUGCAACAUCUGACUGUCCUAGAGGUAUCUUUUAGUUCUUCAACUGUUUUCAUGAAACUAUGUCUUGAUCUGUGCCAAGUUUCUGUUAAGUCUUCAUAUCCAUACACAAGAUGCAGCGGGUUUUUUGGCACCUUUGUCUUCUGUGUGAUGGAUGCAACUUCACAUCCACCUGCUGGUAGAGCUAUUCCAUUCAACGCAUACCAGGUCAUCCGAUAUGUUGUGCCUGCCGCCUGAACUGCAUGUUCAGUAGCCAUAUGUACCAAAACUUUCAAACUUAUGUAUCUACAUCUACAUACCAUACAUGACAACCACCUACAUCAUGAGGCUAGCACUUGAAUGAUGUCAUGAUUGGAUCCCUUUAGAUGGCACUGACAGGAGGCUGCCACACCUCCAGUAUGCAGAAGACCCAUUGACCUAGUACUUUGGACUCGGCAAGAAGAGUUGAUGAUUACUUGAAGUGGAACAUCAUGCAUGCUUGGAAAAUAUGUCCAUGGUAGUCUAGAAACACUGGCAGUUGCUGGGGAUUGAGAACUGUGCAGAGAUUAGUUUUGGUAGUUGUGAUGGUCGGUAUAAAAAUGUCAUAAAAUGACAUCACAAGAGGUUGUUCAUUGAUGAAGGCCAAGUUUUUCAAUUACAAAUCACCAAAAUUUAUGACGGUGAUUAACAGCUGGAAAAAACUGUUUCAUUGAGACGCAACACACAGAAUUUUCCGCCACACACUAAAAAAAAAUCAAUUAGAAUUAUAACUCAACCUUGAGGCAUAUAAUUCAUCAAGUUUUAUGCACUGUAAAUUAAUAUUUCUUUGAAAUGGGGUACUGCGUUUGUACACCAUGUCUUUCAACUUAUUCUUGUGCAUUUGAAAUGAAUGAAGUGUGGAUAGGUACUGAUCAAGUAACUCCAGUGGUGCUAUUGUGACCAUCAUGUGAACUGAUUCACUGGUUCAUUCGACUAAUUGAAUCAAAUAUUGCUUGUCAAGAAUAGUUGAUCCGUUUUUGGUUAUAGAAUUCAUAUCGCUACGCGAAGACAAACGCACAUAAUUCUGAAUCAAAAUGGGUGUGUUUUCCACAAUCGUCUGCUUGUCAACUGCUGUACUGCUUUUGAGCGAUAACACUGUUAUUGCACUUGUUCCAGCCAGUGAUUAUAUAUUGACAGGCUAUGUUGUAAAUAUUUAUUAUCUAACCCACUUUUCAUAUAAUCCUAACGUCGCGCCGUGUUUCGUAGCCAUGCAACACGAAAAUGCGAAUGAUAAAGAAUUGUUUAGCUAUAAUGAUAUGUAUCACGAAGUUUUCUCCAUCGGAAUUUGUAGAUUCGCGGAAAGAGCCAAAACACAACGUGAUAAAGUGCACUUUUGGGCUCAAAAACACCCUAAGCUUGGCGAGGAUAAAAGAUACAAUAACUUCGGAAUCGGCAUGCAGAAGGCAUUCACAGGUUCCAGGUUCCCGACGAAGUACUCAUAGCAACUGACAUUGAAAGUUGAUGAUUAUAAGCGUUUUACAUUUAGCAUCUUGAUCGAGAUUUAGUAGUGUUUUUCUCAAUUCACAGAACAAAAAAACAUAAUUAGUAAAAAAAAAAAGAUGUGCUUUCUUAGGCUAGUAUUAUCUGCCCCUAUUUGAGAUGAAUCAGCAGACCACUCACAAACAGUUUGGAGUGUUGCAAAAAAACCAACAUUUAAACUUGAUUUCUGUUACCAUAAUGUAUGUACAUAAUUAUAUAAAAUUGAUGGAAGCCAUGUAGGAACAAGAAAUGAAUUUGUAUAAUUGUUUGAACAAUUCACAUUAUUUAUCCAUGUAAUUAUAUAAAUGCAAAUUAUUGUUGAAA
Planococcus citri (citrus mealybug) is the source of this 1897-nucleotide long non-coding RNA. RefSeq lists it as uncharacterized. NCBI's taxonomy places the organism in Eukaryota, Metazoa, Arthropoda, Insecta, Hemiptera, Pseudococcidae. The record is from RefSeq and is a predicted model, not a curated record. The transcript has 2 exons.